CAGUAGCCACGGGAACACGAAGGGUGCAAGCGUUAAUCGGAAUUACCGGGCGUAAAGCGUGCGUAGGCGGUUUGUUAAGUCUGUUGUGAAAUCCCCGGGCUCAACCUGGGAAUGGCAAUGGAUACUGGCAAGCUAGAGUGUGUCAGAGGAUGGUGGAAUUCCCGGUGUAGCGGUGAAAUGCGUAGAGAUCGGGAGGAACAUCAGUGGCGAAGGCGGCCAUCUGGGACAACACUGACGCUGAGGCACGAAAGCGUGGGGAGCAAACAGGAUUAGAUACCCCCGUAGUCCCUGUCUCUUAUAC
RNAcentral lists this ribosomal RNA (301 nucleotides) under uncultured bacterium. Its description in RNAcentral is "partial 16S ribosomal RNA". It matches the Rfam family "Bacterial small subunit ribosomal RNA", at positions 509 to 807 of the family's 1533-position model. The record is from RNAcentral.